RNAcentral lists this non-coding RNA (45 nucleotides) under Schistosoma margrebowiei. The record is from RNAcentral. Lineage: Eukaryota; Metazoa; Platyhelminthes; Trematoda; Strigeidida; Schistosomatidae.
AUCCAGCUGACUAGUCCCAAAUAGGACGAAACACGCGUCCUGAAU